UCAAGCUACAAAGAGCUCAGGGUGGAUACCUAGGCACGCAGAGGCGAAGAAGGACGUGGUUACCGACGAAACACUCCGGGGAGCGGGAAGCAAGCAUCGAGCCGGAGAUCUCCGAAUGGGGCAACCCUAAAUACAGCUGGUUGAAUCCAUAGACCAGUAUGAGCCAACCGGGCGAACUGAAACAUCUUAGUAGCCCGAGGAAAAGAAAGAAAAUCGAUUCCCCUAGUAGCGGCGAGCGAAACGGGAAGAGCCUAAACCACCAGAAAAUCUGGAUGGGGUAGUGGGACAGCAAUAGGGAAUCCGGAAGCUAGACGAAGCAGCUGAAAACUGCACCAGAGAGAGUGAAAGUCUCGUAGUUAAAAGCCCAAAGAUACUAGCUGUAUCCCGAGUAGCACGGGGCACGUGAAAUCCCGUGUGAAUCAGCGAGGACCAUCUCGUAAGGCUAAAUACUCCUGCGUGACCGAUAGUGAACCAGUACCGCGAGGGAAAGGUGAAAAGAACCCCGGAAGGGGAGUGAAACAGAACAUGAAACCCUGAGCUUACAAGCAGUGGGAGGACGAUUCAACGUCUGACCGCGUGCCUGUUGAAGAAUGAGCCGGCGACUUACAGGUAGUGGCAGAUUAAGGUGGAAAAGCCGAAGUCAAAGCGAAAGCGAGUCUGAAGAGGGCGGAUAAGUCACUAUUUGUAGACCCGAACCCGGGUGAUCUAACCAUGUCCAGGAUGAAGCUUGGGUAAAGCCAAGUGGAGGUCCGCACCGACCGAUGUUGAAAAAUCGGCGGAUGAGGUGUGGUUAGGGGUGAAAUGCCAAUCGAACCCGGAGCUAGCUGGUUCUCCCCGAAAUGUGUUGAGGCGCAGCGGUGGUGAAUAUAGUUGGGGGGUAAAGCACUGUUUCGGUGCGGGCUGCUAGCGCGGUACCAAAUCGAGACAAACUCUGAAUACCCAGCGAACACACCACCAGUGAGACGGUGGGGGAUAAGCUUCAUCGUCAAGAGGGAAACAGCCCAGACCACCAGCUAAGGCCCCCAAAUGGUCGCUCAGUGAUAAAGGAGGUGGGAGUGCAGUGACAACCAGGAGGUUUGCCUAGAAGCAGCCAUCCUUGAAAGAGUGCGUAAUAGCUCACUGGUCAAGCGCUCCUGCGCCGAAAAUGAACGGGGCUAAGCGACAUGCCGAAGCUGUGGGAUAUUUGUGAUAUCGGUAGGGGAGCGUUCCGGCGUAGGGAGAAGCACUAGCGGCAAGCAGGUGUGGACGAACCGGAAGUGAGAAUGUCGGCUUGAGUAGCGCAAACAUUGGUGAGAAUCCAAUGCCCCGAAACCCCAAGGGUUCCUCCGGAAGGCUCGUCCGCGGAGGGUUAGUCAGGGCCUAAGGCGAGGCUGAAAAGCGUAGUCGAUGGACAACGGGUUAACAAUCCCGUACCAGUUAUUGUUAGCAACAGGGGGACGAAGCAGGGCGUUAUCAGCCGGGGAUUGGUAGUCCCGGUUGAAGGAACCAAGGCGAAGAGCUCUGGAGAAAACAGAGUGAGCCAAGGCCCGAGUACGAGAGUCUACGGACUCGAAGUGAUAACGGUCAAACUUCCAAGAAAAGCCCUAACUGCGAUAAGCAAUGACUGCCUGUACCCGAAACCGACACAGGUGGGGAGGUUGAGAAUACCAAGGGGCGCGAGAUAACUCUCUCUAAGGAACUCGGCAAAAUGGCCCCGUAACUUCGGGAGAAGGGGUGCCCUCAGCAAUGGGGGUUGCAGUGAAGAGAUCCAGGCGACUGUUUACCAAAAACACAGGUCUCCGCGAACUCGUAAGAGGAUGUAUGGGGGCUGACGCCUGCCCAGUGCCGGAAGGUUAAGGAAGUUGGUCAGGGGGUAACCCUAAAGCUGACGACCGAAGCCCCGGUGAACGGCGGCCGUAACUAUAACGGUCCUAAGGUAGCGAAAUUCCUUGUCGGGUAAGUUCCGACCCGCACGAAAGGCGUAACGAUCUGGAUGCUGUCUCGGAGAGAGGCUCGGCGAAAUAGGAUUGUCUGUGAAGAUACGGACUACCUGCACCUGGACAGAAAGACCCUAUGAAGCUUUACUGUAGCCUGGAAUUGGGUUCGGGCUUCGCUUGCGCAGGAUAGGUGGGAGGCGUUUGAAGGUGUCCUUGUGGGGAUACUGGAGCCACCGGUGAGAUACCACUCUGGCGAGGCUAGAAUUCUAACCAUUACCCGCAUAUCCGGGUAGGGAACCGUUUCAGGUGGGCAGUUUGACUGGGGCGGUCGCCUCCUAAAAGGUAACGGAGGCGCGCAAAGGUUCCCUCAGGCUGGUUGGAAAUCAGCCCUAGUGAGUGUAAAGGCAUAAGGGAGCUUGACUGCGAGACCUACAAGUCGAGCAGGGUGGAAACACGGCCUUAGUGAUCCGACGGUGCUGCAUGGAAAGGCCGUCGCUCAACGGAUAAAAGUUACUCUAGGGAUAACAGGCUGAUCUCCCCCAAGAGUCCACAUCGACGGGGAGGUUUGGCACCUCGAUGUCGGCUCAUCGCAACCUGGGGCGGAAGUACGUCCCAAGGGUUGGGCUGUUCGCCCAUUAAAGCGGUACGUGAGCUGGGUUCAGAACGUCGUGAGACAGUUCGGUCCAUAUCCGGUGCAGGCGCAAGAGCAUUGCGAGGAGCCUUCCUUAGUACGAGAGGACCGGGAAGGACGCACCUCUGGUAUACCGGUUAUCGUGCCAACGGUAGACGCCGGGUAGCCAUGUGCGGAGCGGAUAACCGCUGAAAGCAUCUAAGUGGGAAGCCCACCUCCAGAUGAGUGCUCUCAUGGAGUUAAUCCAGUAAGGUCACAGGAAGAUUACCUGUUAAUAGGCGCUCGGUAUAAGUGCAGUAAUGUAUGUAGCCCAGGCGUACUAACCGACCGAGGGCUUGACC
RNAcentral lists this ribosomal RNA (2888 nucleotides) under Phormidium sp. NIES-2120. RNAcentral's name for it is "partial 23S ribosomal RNA". It matches the Rfam family "Bacterial large subunit ribosomal RNA". Lineage: Bacteria; Bacillati; Cyanobacteriota; Cyanophyceae; Oscillatoriales; Oscillatoriaceae. The record is from RNAcentral.